Molecule: long non-coding RNA, 738 nt
Filed under: Danio rerio (zebrafish)
Lineage: Eukaryota; Metazoa; Chordata; Actinopteri; Cypriniformes; Danionidae
Description: lncRNA (ENSDARG00000117743.1)
Source: RNAcentral
UAAAGCAACUUUAAAAUUGAAAACAUAAAACAGACUCGUGCUGUUUUUCCUCCGCUCCACUAGGCGGUAGACGCGCGUUCACGGUCACUCAGACGGACAACCUGCAGCUCCUGAACAACAGAAGAGGAAUACAGACGACGCCCACUUCAUAUCAUAUUUGUUAAUCUCUGAUUCAGCGUUAUAUCAGAGUCUUCGCCCUCAACUUCCUGGCCUUCUGCUUUUUUAUGCAGACUGAAGCAGAGGUCUGGACAUGUGGACGGACGUUUGCUGCGGACAGGCGGCAGAAGCGCGUUCACUUUCCCUCAGACCGACAACCUGCAGCUCCUGAACAACAGAAGAGGAGCACAGACGACGCCCACUUCAUAUACACAUUUGAGAUUCUCUGAUUCAGCGUUAUAUCAGAUUCUUCGCCCUCGACUUCCUGGCCUUCUGGUUUUUUAGACACACCGGUAAGUUAAUCAUUCACCACGAGUAUUUUUACACCUUUAUCUAGAAAAUAUACAGUAUUGGUUGGGAAAAGUUAAACAUUUAGAUUUGUUUUUGAAAGAAGUCUCUUCUGCUCACCAUGGCUGCAUUUAUUUAAUCAUUUAUUUUAUAAGUAAUAUUAUAAAAUAUUGUUUCGAUUUAAAAUAACAGUUUAUUCUAAAAUAAUGGUUAACCGUAAUAUUAAAUGCAAUUUAUUCAUGUCAUUCAAUUUGUGAUUUUUCGAGAAAGGUCUGACUCUUAGACGUGCAUGCU